UACGGAGGGUGCGAGCGUUGUCCGGAAUCAUUGGGCGUAAAGGGCGCGUAGGUGGCUGGGCAAGCGUGCGGUGAAAGCUCGGGGCUCAACCCCGAGUCGGCCGUGCGAACUGCCGAGCUUGAGCACUGUAGAGGCAGGCGGAAUUCCGGGUGUAGCGGUGGAAUGCGUAGAGAUCCGGAAGAACACCGGUGGCGAAGGCGGCCUGCUGGGCAGUGGCUGACACUGAGGCGCGACGAGCGUGGGGAGCAAACAGG
This 254-nucleotide ribosomal RNA is filed under the name uncultured bacterium. RNAcentral's name for it is "partial 16S ribosomal RNA". It matches the Rfam family "Bacterial small subunit ribosomal RNA", at positions 524 to 776 of the family's 1533-position model. The record is from RNAcentral.